Molecule: non-coding RNA, 28 nt
Filed under: Cricetulus griseus (Chinese hamster)
Lineage: Eukaryota; Metazoa; Chordata; Mammalia; Rodentia; Cricetidae
Source: RNAcentral
CUGAGGCUGCAUAGUGCUCUGGAGACCG